AGAGUCGGCCGGACGGCUGCUGCCCACCUCGGUGGGGGGAGGAAAGUCCGGGCUCCAUAGGGCAGGGUGCCAGGUAACGCCUGGGCGGCGCAAGCCGACGACCAGUGCAACAGAGAGUAGACCGCCGAUGGCCCAUCGCAAGAUGGUGCACAGGUAAGGGUGAAAGGGUGCGGUAAGAGCGCACCGCGCGGCUGGCAACAGUUCGUGGCACGGUAAACUCCACCCGGAGCAAGACCAAAUAGGCCCCCAAUACGCGCGGCCCGCGCGGGGGGCGGGUAGGUUGCUUGAGCCAGUGAGCGAUUGCUGGCCUAGACGAAUGGCCGUUCAAGACAGAACCCGGCUUACAGGCCGGCUCUGCGG
RNAcentral lists this RNase P RNA (360 nucleotides) under Gallaecimonas xiamenensis 3-C-1. RNAcentral describes it as "Gallaecimonas sp. 3-C-1 Bacterial RNase P class A". It matches the Rfam family "Bacterial RNase P class A". From Rfam's summary of the family: Ribonuclease P (RNase P) is a ubiquitous endoribonuclease, found in archaea, bacteria and eukarya as well as chloroplasts and mitochondria. Its best characterised activity is the generation of mature 5'-ends of tRNAs by cleaving the 5'-leader elements of precursor-tRNAs. Cellular RNase Ps are ribonucleoproteins. The record is from Rfam by way of RNAcentral. Lineage: Bacteria; Pseudomonadati; Pseudomonadota; Gammaproteobacteria; Enterobacterales; Gallaecimonadaceae.